This 678-nucleotide long non-coding RNA is filed under the name Mustela putorius furo (domestic ferret). RNAcentral's name for it is "lncRNA (ENSMPUG00000027272.1)". Lineage: Eukaryota; Metazoa; Chordata; Mammalia; Carnivora; Mustelidae. The record is from RNAcentral.
CGGAUAUCUGAUAGCUAAGAACUUCCUGAUAACAGAAAAAUUUGCUUCUUGCUCACCUAUGGACACAUUUCAGAUGCUCAGGAGCCAAGUGUGUAGAGGACAGCACAGAGAGAGGAUAAUUUCGUCAUCUCAGGAAAUUCAAUUUUACAGCAUGUCAGAAGACUUUGGGAUCUUUCAUAAAGUAAAAGAUCUUUUAUAAAGGAUCUGGGCUUCUUGGUGGGUAGAAGGGGUCAGAGAAGUGCCACUCAGGGAAGAAAACGAGGAGCCCUUUUCAGAAACAGAGACAGAAACAAUAAUGAAUAGGAUCCUAUAAUUUCAGGCAUCUAAUCUGCCUCUAAUAUGUGGCAGUGCACCCGGAGGGAGAGGAAUUUCAGAUACAUGGUGGCAUGGUGUACCCAGGAGAGUUGAUUCUCUAAUACUGACCUCUAUAAUACUGACCACUUGGGUUUGGACAAUAAGGAUGUCAUCAGACACUCUCUUGGACUGGAGGGUCAAGAAACUUCUCCCAUUUUUCUGAACACCAUAUGAGCCUCUUGGAUUCUGGUUGAGUCCUGGCUGAGGAGGUUGUUAAUAAUGAGUGGAAUUCAUUUCCUGGCAAUCCAAUGGACUGAUACUGAGCUUUGGAUUUUAUUAGCUGUAAAGGAGGAAAAAGAAACAAGAAUUUUCGGGACUGUGAAU